This 465-nucleotide ribosomal RNA is filed under the name uncultured Pelotomaculum sp. RNAcentral's name for it is "bacterial SSU rRNA". It matches the Rfam family "Bacterial small subunit ribosomal RNA", at positions 919 to 1382 of the family's 1533-position model. The record is from RNAcentral. Lineage: Bacteria; Bacillati; Bacillota; Clostridia; Eubacteriales; Desulfotomaculaceae.
GGCCGCACAAGCGGUGGAGCAUGUGGUUAAUUCGACGCAACGCGAAGAACCUUACCAGGGCUUGACAUCCCCUGACCGCGUAUGAAAGUACGUUUUCACCCUCGGGUGACAGGGAGACAGGUGGUGCAUGGUUGUCGUCAGCUCGUGUCGUGAGAUGUUGGGUUAAGUCCCGCAACGAGCGCAACCCCUACGUUUAGUUGCUAACAGGUGAAGCUGAGCACUCUAGACGAACUGCCGUUGACAAAACGGAGGAAGGUGGGAUGACGUCAAAUCAUCAUGCCCCUUAUGUUCUGGGCUACACACGUGCUACAAUGGCCGGUACAGACGGAGGCGAAGCCGCGAGGCGGAGCAAAUCCGAAAAAGCCGGUCUCAGUUCGGAUUGCAGGCUGCAAUUCGCCUGCAUGAAGUCGGAAUCGCUAGUAAUCGCAGGUCAGCAUACUGCGGUCGAAUACGUUCCCGGGCCUU